RNAcentral lists this ribosomal RNA (253 nucleotides) under uncultured bacterium. RNAcentral describes it as "partial 16S ribosomal RNA". It matches the Rfam family "Bacterial small subunit ribosomal RNA", at positions 524 to 776 of the family's 1533-position model. The record is from RNAcentral.
UACGUAGGGUGCGAGCGUUGCUCGGAUUUACUGGGCGUAAAGCGUACGCAGACGGUGAGAAAGGUCGGAUGUGAAAGCCCCGGGCUCAACCCGGGAACUGCAUCCGAAACCAUCUCGCUCGAGUGUGGGAGAGGGAAGCGGAAUUCCUGGUGUAGAGGUGAAAUUCGUAGAUAUCAGGAGGAACACCGGCGGCGAAGGCGGCUUCCUGGCCCAUUACUGACGUUCAGGUACGAAAGCGUGGGUAGCAAACAGG